RNAcentral lists this ribosomal RNA (228 nucleotides) under uncultured bacterium. RNAcentral describes it as "partial 16S ribosomal RNA". It matches the Rfam family "Bacterial small subunit ribosomal RNA", at positions 326 to 537 of the family's 1533-position model. The record is from RNAcentral.
ACGCUCGACACCUACGGGAUGCAGCAGUGAGGAAUAUUGGUCAAUGGGCGCCAGCCUGAACCAGCCAAGUAGCGUGAAGGAUGAAGGCUCUAUGGGUCGUAAACUUCUUUUAUAUAAGAAUAAAGUGCAGUAUGUAUACUGUUUUGUAUGUAUUAUAUGAAUAAGGAUCGGCUAACUCCGUGCCAGCAGCGUGACGUAUCUGGCGGCGGGUCGUACGGGACCGAAGGC